Taeniopygia guttata (zebra finch) is the source of this 2340-nucleotide long non-coding RNA. The record is from Ensembl. Lineage: Eukaryota; Metazoa; Chordata; Aves; Passeriformes; Estrildidae.
AUGGGGUGGGGACCCAAAACCGGGGAUCGGAGCCCAAAACCGGGAGGGGGUAACAAACCGGGAGGGGUCCCAAAACCGGGGAGGGGGUCCCAAAAACGGGGAACGGAGCCCAAAACCGGGGAGGGGUCCCAAAACCGGGGAGGGGAGCCCAAAACCGGGGAGGGGACCCCAAAAACGGGGAACGGAGCCCAAAAACGGGGAGGGGUCCCAAAAACGGGGAGGGGUCCCAAAACCGGAGAGAUUCUCACGGUGGGGGGCGGGUCCGGUGGAACGGAGCCCAAAACCGGGGAGGGGUCCCAAACCGGGGAGGGGUCUCAAAAACGGGGAGGGGACCCCAAAAACGGGGAAGGGACCCAAAAACGGGGUGGGGACCCCAAAACCGGGGUGGGGAACCCAAAACCGGGGAGGGGUCCCAAAACCGGGGAACGGAUCCCAAAACCGGGGAGGGGUCCCAAAACCGGGGAGGGGACCCCAAAACCGGGGAGGGAUCCCAAAACCGGAGGGAUUCUCACGGUGGGGGGCGGGUCCGGUGGAACGGAGCCCAAAACCGGGGAGGGGGUCCCAAAACCGGGAAACGGAGCCCAAAACCGGGGAGGGGUCCCAAAAACGGGGAAGGGACCCCAAAACCGGGGAGGGGACCCAAACCGGGAGGGGACCCAAAACCGGGGAGGGGACCCCAAAACCGGGGAGGGGAGCCCAAAACCGGGGAGGGGACCCCAAAAACGGGGAGGGGAGCCCAAAACCGGGGAAGGGACCCCAAAACCGGGGAACGGAGCCCAAAACCGGGGAACGGACCCCAAAACCGGGGUGGGGAGCCCAAAACCGGAGGGAUUCUCACGGUGGGGGGCGGGUCCGGUGGAACGGAGCCCAAAACCGGGGAGGGGACCCCAAAACCGGGGAGGGGAGCCCAAAACCGGGGAGGGGAGCCCAAAAACGGGGAGAGGGUCCCAAAAACGGGGAGGGGUCCCAAAACCGGGAGGGGGUCCCAAAACCGGGGAGGGGUCCCAAAACCGGGGUGGGGAGCCCAAAACCGGAGGGAUUCUCACGGUGGAGGGCGGGUCCGGUGGAACGGAGCCCAAAACCGGGAGGGGGUCCCAAAACCGGGGAGGGGUCCCAAAACCGGGAGGGGGUCCCAAAAACGGGGAACGGAGCCCAAAACCGGGGAGGGGAUCCCAAAACCGGGGAGGGGUCCCAAAACCGGGGAGGGGUCCCAAAACCGGGGAGGGAACCGAAAACCGGGAGGGGGUCCCAAAACCGGGAGGGGUCCCAAAACCGGGAGGGGUCCCAAAACCGGAGGGAUUCUCACGGUGGGGGGCGGGUCCGGUGGAACGGAGCCCAGAACCGGGGAGGGGGUCCCAAAACCGGGGAGGGGUCCCAAAAACGGGGAACGGAUCCCAAAACCGGGAGGGGGUCCCAAAACCGGGGAGGGGGUCCCAAAACCGGGGUGGGGAGCCCAAAACCGGAGGGAUUCUCACGGUGGGGGGCGGGUCCGGUGGAACGGAGCCCAAAACCGGGGAGAGGGUCCCAAACCGGGAGGGGACCCCAAAACCGGGGAGGGGUCCCAAAAACGGGGAACGGAUCCCAAAACCGGGAAACGGAGCCCAAAACCGGGGUGGGGACCCCAAAACCGGAGGGAUUCUCACGGUGGGGGGCGGGUCCGGUGGAACGGAGCCCAAAACCGGGGAGGGGGAGCCCAAAACCGGGGAGAGGAGCCCAAACCGGGGAGGGGUCCCAAAAACGGGGAACGGAGCCCAAAACCGGGGAGGGAACCCAAAACCGGGGAGGGGACCCAAAACCGGGGAGGGGACCCCAAAAACGGGGAACGGAGCCCAAAACCGGGAGGGGUCCCAAAACCGGGAGGGGGACCCCAAAACCGGGGUGGGGAGCCCAAAACCGGGGAGGGGACCCCAAAACCGGGGUGGGGUCCCAAAACCGGGGAGGGGACCCCAAAACCGGAGGGAUUCUCACGGUGGGAGGCGGGUCCGGUGGAACGGAGCCCAAAACCGGGGAGGGGUCCCAAAACCGGGGAACGGAUCCCAAAAACGGGGAACGGAGCCCAAAACCGGGGAGGGGUCCCAAAACCGGGGAGGGACCCCAAAACCGGGGAACGGAUCCCAAAAUCGGGGAACGGAGCCCAAAACCGGAGGGAUUCUCACGGUGGGGGGCGGGUCCGGUGGAACGGAGCCCAAAACCGGGGAGGGGUCCCCGAAACGGGGAGGGGUCCCAAAACCGGGAGGGGGUCCCAAAACCGGGGAGGGGUCCCAAAACCGGGGAGGGGAUCCCAAAACCGGAGGGAUUCUCACGGCGGGGACCGGGGGGGGGACCCCAAAACCGGGGUGA